This 468-nucleotide ribosomal RNA is filed under the name uncultured bacterium. Its description in RNAcentral is "partial 16S ribosomal RNA". It matches the Rfam family "Bacterial small subunit ribosomal RNA", at positions 28 to 507 of the family's 1533-position model. The record is from RNAcentral.
GACGAACGCUGGCGGCGUGCUUAACACAUGCAAGUCGAACGGAAAGGCCCUGCUUUUGUGGGGUGCUCGAGUGGCGAACGGGUGAGUAACACGUGAGUAACCUGCCCUUGACUUUGGGAUAACUUCAGGAAACUGGGGCUAAUACCGGAUAGGAGCUCCUGCUGCAUGGUGGGGGUUGGAAAGUUUCGGCGGUUGGGGAUGGACUCGCGGCUUAUCAGCUUGUUGGUGGGGUAGUGGCUUACCAAGGCUUUGACGGGUAGCUGGCCUGAGAGGGUGACCGGCCACAUUGGGACUGAGAUACGGCCCAGACUCCUACGGGAGGCAGCAGUGGGGAAUAUUGCACAAUGGGCGGAAGCCUGAUGCAACAACGCCGCGUGCGGGAUGACGGCCUUCGGGUUGUAAACCGCUUUCGCCUGUGACGAAGCGUGAGUGACGGUAAUGGGUAAAGAAGCACCGGCUAACUACGUG